GACGAACCGAGCGAACGUUAUUCGGAAUCACUGGGCUUAAAGGGCGCGUAGGCGGGCGGCCGAGUCCGGGGUGAAAGCCCCCAGCUCAACUGGGGAAGUGCCUCGGAUACUGGUCGCCUCGAGGGAGAUAGGGGCGUGCGGAACUUCCGGUGGAGCGGUGAAAUGCGUAGAUAUCAGGAGGAACACCGGUGGUGUAGACGGCUCUCUGGACCGUAACUGACGCUGAGACACGAAAGCGUGGGUAGCAAACAGG
This 253-nucleotide ribosomal RNA is filed under the name uncultured bacterium. RNAcentral's name for it is "partial 16S ribosomal RNA". It matches the Rfam family "Bacterial small subunit ribosomal RNA", at positions 524 to 776 of the family's 1533-position model. The record is from RNAcentral.